GACAGCAGCAGCCACGGUAAUACGGAGGGUGCAAGCGUUAAUCGGAAUUACUGGGCGUAAAGCGCACGCAGGCGGUCUGACAAGUCAGAUGUGAAAUCCCCGGGCUUAACCUGGGAACUGCAUUUGAAACUGUCAGGCUGGAGUCUUGUAGAGGGGGGUGGAAUUCCAGGUGUAGCGGUGAAAUGCGUAGAGAUCUGGAGGAAUACCGGUGGCGAAGGCGGCCCCCUGGACAAAGACUGACGCUCAGGUGCGAAAGCGUGGGGAGCAAACAGGAUUAGAUACCCCGGUAGUCCCUGUCUCUUAUAC
Molecule: ribosomal RNA, 306 nt
Filed under: uncultured bacterium
Lineage: Bacteria
Description: partial 16S ribosomal RNA
Rfam family: Bacterial small subunit ribosomal RNA
Source: RNAcentral